UACGUAGGGUGCGAGCGUUGUCCGGAAUUAUUGGGCGUAAAGAGCUUGUAGGCGGUCUGUCGCGUCUGCUGUGAAAAUCCGGGGCUCAACCCCGGACUUGCAGUGGGUACGGGCAGACUAGAGUGUGGUAGGGGAGACUGGAAUUCCUGGUGUAGCGGUGAAAUGCGCAGAUAUCAGGAGGAACACCGAUGGCGAAGGCAGCACUCUGGGACGUGACUGACGCUGAGACGCGAAAGCGUGGGGAGCAAACAGG
Molecule: ribosomal RNA, 253 nt
Filed under: uncultured bacterium
Lineage: Bacteria
Description: partial 16S ribosomal RNA
Rfam family: Bacterial small subunit ribosomal RNA
Source: RNAcentral